This 422-nucleotide ribosomal RNA is filed under the name uncultured bacterium. RNAcentral's name for it is "bacterial SSU rRNA". It matches the Rfam family "Bacterial small subunit ribosomal RNA", at positions 355 to 774 of the family's 1533-position model. The record is from RNAcentral.
UAAGGAAUAUUGGUCAAUGGAGGCAACUCUGAACCAGCCAUGCCGCGUGAAGGAUUAAGGCCCUCUGGGUUGUAAACUUCUUUUAUAUGGGAAGAAAUGUACUUUCUCUAAAGUGCUUGACGGUACCAUAGGAAUAAGCACCGGCUAACUCCGUGCCAGCAGCCGCGGUAAUACGGAGGGUGCAAGCGUUAUCCGGAUUUACUGGGUUUAAAGGGUGCGUAGGCGGAUGAAUAAGUCAGUGGUGAAAUCUCCGAGCUUAACUCGGAAACUGCCGUUGAUACUAUUUGUCUUGAAUAUUGUGGAGGUAAGCGGAAUAUGUCAUGUAGCGGUGAAAUGCUUAGAUAUGACAUAGAACACCAAUUGCGAAGGCAGCUUGCUACACAAUCAUUGACGCUGAGGCACGAAAGCGUGGGGAUCAAACA